Molecule: ribosomal RNA, 423 nt
Filed under: uncultured bacterium
Lineage: Bacteria
Description: bacterial SSU rRNA
Rfam family: Bacterial small subunit ribosomal RNA
Source: RNAcentral
UAAGGAAUAUUGGACAAUGGGCGCAAGCCUGAUCCAGCCAUGCCGCGUGCAGGAUGAAGGAGCUCAGCUCUGUAAACUGCUUUUGUUUGGGAAAAAUUCCCUGGUUUCUACCGGGGUUGAUUGUACCAAAAGAAUAAGGGACGGCUAACUUCGUGCCAGCAGCCGCGGUAAUACGAAGGUCCCAAGCGUUAUCCGGAUUUAUUGGGUUUAAAGGGUGCGUAGGCGGAUUAUUAAGUCAGUGGUGAAAGCCCCAGGCCCAACCUGGGAAUUGCUAUUGAUACUGAUGAUCUUGAGUACAUUUGAGGUAGGCGGAAUGUGUCAUGUAGCGGUGAAAUGCUUAGAUAUGACACAGAACACCAAUUGCGUAGGCAGCUUACUAAACUGUAACUGACGCUGAGGCACGAAAGCGUGGGGAGCAAACAG